GACGAACGCUGGCGGCGUGCUUAACACAUGCAAGUCGAACGGAAAGGCCCUGCUUUUGUGUGGUGCUCGAGUGGCGAACGUGUGAGUAACACGGGAGUAACCUGCCCUUUACUUUGGGAUAACUUCAGGAAACUGGUGCUAAUACCUGAUAGGAGCUCCUGCUGCAUGGUGGGGGUUGGAAAGUUUCGGCGGUUGGGGAUGGACUCGCGGCUUAUCAGCUUGUUGGUGGGGUAGUGGCUUACCAAGGCUUUGACGGGUAGCCGGCCUGAGAGGGUGACCGGCCACAUUGGGACUGAGAUACGGCCCAGACUCCUACGGGAGGCAGCAGUGGGGAAUAUUGCACAAUGGGCGGAAGCCUGAUGCAGCAACGCCGCGUGCGGGAUGAAGGCCUUCGGGUUGUAAACCGCUUUCGCCUGUGACGAAGCGUGAGUGACGGUAAUGGGUAAAGAAGCACCGGCUAACUACGUG
This 468-nucleotide ribosomal RNA is filed under the name uncultured bacterium. RNAcentral's name for it is "partial 16S ribosomal RNA". It matches the Rfam family "Bacterial small subunit ribosomal RNA", at positions 28 to 507 of the family's 1533-position model. The record is from RNAcentral.